CCUCGCGCGGCGUCGGGCGACGCCUGUCCAGUCCCCGCAGCCUAGCGCGGGCGGCGGCGGGCGAUGGAGAGCAGAGCCCCGGGCCCCGCCGUCCUCCAGCGCGCUCCGCUGCAACCCCGCAGCUGAGCCCAGAGGCUCCGGCCCUGUGCGCCCUACCGCGGCCCCGCCACUAUGGCCGGCGUGUGGGCGCCGGAGCACUCGGUUGAAGCGCACAGCAACCAGUCAAGUGCUGCCGACGGCUGCGGCUCUGUGUCCGUGGCCUUCCCCAUCACCAUGAUGGUCACUGGCUUCGUGGGCAACGCGCUGGCCAUGUUGCUUGUGUCGCGCAGCUAUAGACGCCGGGAGAGCAAACGCAAAAAGUCUUUCCUGCUGUGCAUUGGCUGGCUGGCGCUCACCGACUUGGUGGGGCAGCUCCUGACCAGUCCGGUGGUCAUCCUCGUGUACCUGUCGCAGCGACGCUGGGAGCAACUCGACCCAUCGGGGCGCCUGUGCACCUUCUUCGGGCUGACCAUGACAGUGUUCGGACUGUCCUCGCUCUUGGUGGCCAGCGCCAUGGCCGUGGAGCGCGCCCUGGCUAUCCGUGCGCCGCACUGGUAUGCCAGCCACAUGAAGACUCGCGCCACGCGCGCGGUACUGCUGGGUGUGUGGCUGUCUGUGCUCGCCUUCGCGCUGCUGCCUGUGCUGGGCGUGGGCCGCUACAGCGUGCAGUGGCCCGGCACGUGGUGCUUCAUCAGCACCGGGCCGGCGGGCAACGAGACUGACUCUGCGCGGGAGCCGGGCAGCGUGGCCUUUGCCUCCGCCUUCGCCUGUCUAGGCUUGCUGGCUCUGGUGGUGACCUUUGCCUGCAACCUGGCGACCAUCAAAGCCCUGGUGUCCCGCUGCCGGGCCAAAGCCGCCGCCUCGCAGUCCAGCGCCCAGUGGGGCCGGAUCACCACGGAGACGGCCAUCCAGCUUAUGGGGAUCAUGUGUGUACUGUCCGUCUGCUGGUCGCCGCUAUUGAUAAUGAUGCUGAAAAUGAUCUUCAAUCAGAUGUCAGUAGAGCAAUGCAAGACGCAGAUGGGAAAGGAGAAGGAGUGCAAUUCCUUCCUAAUCGCCGUUCGCCUGGCUUCGCUGAACCAGAUCUUGGAUCCCUGGGUUUAUCUGCUGCUAAGAAAGAUCCUUCUUCGAAAGUUCUGCCAGGUAGCAAACGCUGUCUCCAGCUGCUCUAGUGACCAACAGAAAGGGCAGGCCAUCUCCUUGUCUAAUGAAGUAGUACAGCCAGGGCCAUGAAAGAGAACAGAGCCAAUGAGCUUAGACACAGCUUUUGCAGCCAAUGUCUCUAACCCUUAUGGACCGAGGCAUCUCUGGUAUGCUGCUGUUUAUGUGGUGGAGUGGAAUUUUUGAUAUAAAGCUAGAUGGUCUGAGGAACAUAGAUAAUCCUUUCUGUGCCAAAGUCCAGAAAUACAAACAAAGGAAAAUCUGUUAAUAACAGUCUAGCAUUUUGAGUCUCUGCCAGUGUUAGCUGAAUAUGGGGUUAUUUAUGUGAUGAAACACUGAUAAACGACCUUGAGGUGCUUGGGGGGUAAGGGUGGUUGCUUUCCCAGCACAUUGUGUGGGGAGUUGGGGGUGUAAACCCGUGGGCAGGAGAUGAGGCCACAGCAAUUUGUCUUGUCUGAGGACAUUGGUCAUGUUCUCUUUCACCAUCGUCUCUGUUACUUUUCUGACACUCUUUUUCUAUUCAAAAUUUAAAGCAUCUAAUUGGGUUUUUAAAAAAAAUGUAUAAUGUAUCCACAUAUUUAUUAUCUUGAUGUUAUUCAGAUACUGUUCAAUAGAUUAUCAGCUCAUAGCCUUACAAAACUUAACUUUGGUUGGGUUGGUAUGGAAGUUUAUUCUUUAAUUAAAAAGAUAUAACUCCACUUGGCUGCAAGUAAGACAGUGUAUGUCUACCCAUUGUUUUGGAAUGUUCUUUCCUUUGAAUACAUUUUGCAUUCUUAGAAGCCUGGAGGAAAGUCCUAACUGAUCUAUGAGAGUCAUGAACCAUAUUUCAGAAUGCUUCCUGAAGGCUGGAUUGGGAACUGAGGGUUAGUCCCGUUCCCAGUGUUCUCUGGUCUUUGAAGACCAGCUCUUAUUCUAGAACAAAUAGAAACUUAGAAACUAAAUAAAGAUUUACCAUAGUCUGGCUUCCUUGUAAGACAGGAGUAUUAAUGAUGACUUUUCAGCCUUUUCCCUGCCCUUGGGCUAGCACUCUCUCUCACCUCAGCUCUGUGGCCAGGCUUGCUUUUCACCCAGCUUACAAACAAGUGCACAGGCUUGACACUUUGGUUUGAUGUCUCCUUGUCUCACAGGUAGAUUACAAGCAGAAGCUUUGGGAUUCAAGGGCUUAAAAGUUACCCCACAAACAUUGUGUUCCUUCAGGACCCCCUGAGAUACUGUCUUUAUUCUUUGGCACCCUCCUUUCUGCAAGUUCAUUAAUAAUUAAUGUGAAGGUUCUGAUGUAUAAUUUAUUGCUUCCUAGUUUCUUCAAAGCUGAAGAUUUCUGUCUGCUUCUUAUAUAAUGGCAUUUUCUUAUGAUUAGUACCAGUUUGGAUGAGGUUGACUGUAACUGUCACGUUGUGUCUGUUAGAUUAAUUGUGCUCACUGGCCUAGGACAGUUCGGCUAAUCAAUCUAAAUAAUCAGGUCAAACCAAGUCAGAAUUUUUUUUCUUUUCUUUUUUUUCUGAGCUGGGGACCGAACCCAGGGCCUUGCACUUGCUAGGCAAGCGCUCUACCACUGAGCUAAAUCCCCAACCCCCCAAGUCAGAAUUUAAAGGCUGAUGGAGGCACUGUCACCAUCCAGAGUGUCUCCAUAAUUCGGAUGUGAAAAUAAAGACAAGAAUAAACCUAUACUAACCCUGUUAUAAAAAACUCCCUUUCAUAUGCUUUAUAGAGUAUAGGAUAAAACUCUCCUCCCCCAAUGCUUAAAUGACCUUAUAACAAAGAGGCUUUGCUUCGGAGGGGUUCUGAGCCCUCCCGUGAUCCGGUAAAAAUACAACUGGGUUUGAGUGGUGUAAUUUUGUUACUUCUUCCCACACCCACUCUAGCAUCUGGAAUAUAGGACUUUCCAAUAAACAUCGUUCAAUGAAUGAGUGAAUGAGAUUCUGCCAACACUUCUGCUUUUGACACAUUUUUUUUUCAGAUCACCCAACUUGUAAAUCAGAUGACUUCUUAUUUAGUGGAGUAAACAGAGAUCUGCCUUUAGAGGCAUUGGCUGUGCUGUUUUCCAGCAGGGUGUCAUUUCUGUUAAUAAUCUAAAGGAUAUAGUUCCAACUGGUCAAGGGAGUCACUCUGAAAAGAACAUCAGUUCUCAUCAAGGUUUAAACUUAUCCUAGGCUACGAAAUCAGUUCCUGUCCAGGGAUUAUGUGGUAGGAGUGAAUGGAUGGCUACUUUUGAACAAACUUUAAAGGAGGCAGCAAGGGAAGAAAUUGUGAGUUGUGUUACCCGAAAAGCCAUUGGGGAGUUCAGGAAAACUUGAUGAGAAGUAAAAGUCCCCAAAGUCUCAGUGUUGGAUGGCGAGCAUUCAGGGGUGUGCCAGCCAGGCAACACAGAGACAUCUCAGAGAACAUCUCAGAAAACAAUCACAGCAACAAAACAGUGCAAUUUAUCAAAUUUGCCUAAUGCCGUAUACUCAGGCAUUUUAAAUAAACAUUUAAUCUCAACAGGCUUAAACUAUUCUGAAAUGAAAGGCGUAUAUUUUUUGCAUAAUUCUUCUUUAUUUCAUAAAAGAUCUCCUGACAAAGUUACCGAAAACUAUACAAUGUCCCAUAAGUUAAUGGUGAGACUUAAAACUCACAGGCAGGCCGCAAAGUGGUGGCACCUUGGCAGCAUCCUGGUGCUUGAAGAUUUGAAAUCCAUUGAUUAUUUAAUCAACAGUUCUCACAGUUUUAUUGAUUGGAGGUCCCAAAUUAGUGACUGGCUUUCAGGUUUUCCCAGCAUAAAAAAUGAUUCAAUUAUUCAAUAGCUCCUUUGGGCUGAGAUCAAACCAGCAAUGGAGGUAUAGCUCUUCUAAAUUCAUUGUCAAGUGUGUUGCCAGUUAACUACAAAAGCACUCUGAAGCUGCACAUGAUAUAGGGAAGAGUGUUAAGCCACCAGCAAAGCGUUUGUUGCUGCAAAUACUGGAAUAGCUUAACUAGAAUAAUUAAAAUGUGUUUUAUCCACCCAGCCUUAGACUGCGACACAGUAUCACAGAUCCUUAUUUGAUGUUUGUUUUGUGAUAUUUUUAAAAUUAAAACAUGUCAAAAUUGAAAUAUACAUAAAUGUCUAAAAAUUGUGCAUCUCUGAUUAAGACGAGAGAUGUGUUUUCUGUGUUGUAACAAAGUGCUGAUAGGCGUUAAGCUACUGCUGACAUUUUCACAGUAUUAUGUAUGAACGUAUUACAAAAUUCAAAAGUCAACCCAGGGAAGUAGUUGGUAUUAGCCAAUGAAGCACAAACCAGAGAAUUAAGUAAACCUUUUAUGAACCAUGCUUUACGAUCACUAAGGUAAAGACCAUGUGAUACCAUGUGAACAUUUAACUCUCAGCAUUACAGCGUGAUACCAUAAGGAGAGAGCAUUCUCUGCAAAGACAGUUCCACCGUGUACAUCAUGAUGGCUACCUGUCUGAGUUCCACUGAGACAAAGAAUAUUAUUUUCAGAGCUUCUCACCUGCCAGCUGUGUGUCCUAAACUUUAAAUAGCCUGUGGGCUGGCUUUCUACACCCACCUUUGAAACUGAUUUACCCCCACUACCUUCCUCACCCCGCCCGCCUGUCCUCUCAGAGAAAACAGAGAACAGAAAUAUUUGUUGUUGACUAGGCUUGCAUUGUUCGUUUCUAGUCAGCCUCAAUGGAGCAAUUUUAUUAUGAAGGAAAGAAAGAAAUCUCCCAGAAAAAAAUCAAAACAAAUCAUGCUUUUUGAGUAUUUUGGAGAAUUCCACAUCAGUGUCCCCUUUUGAUUGUGAAUCUCUGGAUUCUUGUGUGAAGUGCUUUAGAUUUAAAGUAUAUGUAUCUUUUAAAGUCAGCAGGUUUUGGGACAGUGUAUAUAGCCAAGCACCAAAACUGAGCAGCCAUUUGAAAAUAAUUUCCUUGUGUAGUUAGUUUUCAGAUUCUGGAGAAAAAAAAAAUCAGUGUUUAUUGAGAAGCUAGGGGAGACUCACGCAAUUCAAGGUUCUUGGUGUUUUAGAAAGGACGGCUAUGUGCGUGUACACUGGAUGAGGUGGAGAACAUGGUAGGGAAGACUGUGUCCACUGCAACCUGUUUAAAUCCCUGGUCCUCUAAGACAGAACUCAGAAGCAGAGGCAGGGAGGGGCCUCAUUUAACUGGAGAUACUACUUACCAGGGAGACAAACAGUGUGGGGUUCGUUUUCAUAAAAGAAAUGGUAAAUACACAUUCACUUAGAUAAUAACACACACACACACACACACACACGCACAGAGAGAGAGAGAGAGAGAGAGAGAGAGAGAGAGAGAGAGAGAGAGAGAGAGAGAGAAAGAGAGAGAGAGAGAGAGAGGGAGAGAGACACUUAAUCUAUUGUCACAUUAAUUACUGUAGGCUGCUCACAGCUAACAGACAGGAACCCCACCCUCUGGGGUGAGGUACUAGCUGCACCUGCACUUUAAGCCCCACUCAGUUGCUCAGAGCAGGAAGUCCUCUACCUCUCCUGCUCACUGCUUUGUCCCCACUUGCUUGGCCAUGUAGGAAAGUGUGUUUUUGCCGUCUCGUGUAAAGCUUUGUGGGUAUUUCUUUGCAGUGUAUUUAAAUAUAACUGCCAUGUGUUCUAUAGGCUGAUACUCAAUACUGUGUAGUCAAAGAAUGAAUGUAUAAGAUGUGCAUCAGAAUUCUGAUGGCAUCCGAGGACAGCUUCUCUGUGUAUGUAAUAAAUGUCUGUUAUUUAUGUCGUCUGUCAAUGAAAAAUAAAGCAAAUGAUAUGAAAUGUCCCUGUUUUUAUUUCCCGAUCUCAGGAAUGUUUUCUUGUUGGGGAUAUUUUGCUCACAAUGGUAUUAAGCGUCUUGCUGACCUCCUACUUGCUGCACUUGGUCAAAUAAAAGCCCCGUGUCUAGCAACAGCCCUGUCCUGUUUGGAACAACUGUACUGUUUCGAUUCUGACUCUGUAACCCCAUGCAGGAAGUCACUGAUUCUCUCCACUGUGGAGAGCCUCUUGGUCUGCAUUUUCAGCAUGCUGCCUCUCUCCAGAUUGCUGUUUUUAAUGCAAAACCCCAUUCAUACAUUAAACUUUUUCCUUGCUCUUGUGGAUUCUGGUGUAAUCUACCACUGGUGCCUGAGCUAUCAGAGACCUUUGACCAUCAGGCCCCAGUGUUGGAUUCUUGUGGUGGUGAUGGCCAGGCUCCACCCCUCCCCUGCUCUGCAAAUCCAGACAUAUUAAAACUAGUGCGCUGAGCUUACCUGCCUUCCUCCUAAGAAAAGGCUUCUAGGACAAAGUCUCUUUUCUUUUCCUCUCCCAUGGGAGUUGUAAGGCCAGGAUCACGUUCUUAAUUAUGCACAACUUCAGGGAAAGUCAUUGUAGCCAGAGUGGGUAUGUCUGACUAGAAAUCCCCGCCACAGUGAUGGGAAACCUGCGGGCUGUGGCGUGCGAUGCCCCUGUGUUUGUGUCCUGAGCAGGCAGAGUCAAUUGUUCUUCAUGACCUGGUGCUUGCUGAUAGCUGCUGGGUGAAUGCAGUGCAGCUGACACAGGCGUGGAGUCCAAGCCAGUUCCUCAGCUCUGUUCUUCUCUCUGCAACUUUGUGUACCGGGUUCUACCUCUGUCUGGUAGGAGAUAAAACAUCAGGAUUCGUUUUUUUAAACCUGGAGCUUUGUGAGACCCAGUGAAAUGACUGAGCAGUCAAGGUAUCUGCUGCUAAGCUUAAUAACCUGGGUUGGGUCCUGGAGAUUCACAUAAUAGAGAGAGGAACCAAGUCUAGGAGGGUAUCCUCAGACCUCUACAUGCAGCCCUGGUACAUAUAUACACUCACACAGACAGGCAGAAGGACAGACAGAUAGACAGACACAGACACAUACACACACAGAGGGGUACGUAUAAGCACACACACACACACACACACAGAUAGGCACACACAGACACAUGCACAUACAGACACUCACAUACAGACAUACAUAGAAACACACACAGAUACACACAGACACAUACACAAUAAAUAACAUGCACUUAUUAUUUGAACUUACAAUCUAAUGCACUUACAAUCACACAGAAACAUAUACACAUACAGAGAUACACACAUAGACAUACAUAUAAACACGUAAACACAGAGACACAUACAUAUACAAGCAUACACAAACAGAUGCAUACAUACAAAGACACUAUCACAUACACACCGAACAAAUAAUGUGUAGUUUACACUUUGCAUUUAAAAUCCAGUGCACUUACAAUCACACACACACACACACACACACACACACACACACACACACAUAUAUACAUUCACACAGACACACAGGCUAAACAGAUAAUCUGUAGUUCAUACAUUGCACUUACAAUCUAGUGCACUUACAAUCACAUAAAGACAUAAACACAGAUAAACACAGGCAUAGACACAUAAACACAGACACAUACACAAAGACAUUAUCACACACACUAAACAAAUAGUAUGCAGUUCACACUUCACACUUCCAAUCUACUGCACUUAUAAUCACACACAAACAUAUGCACAGACACAUACUUUGCAUUUACAAUACAGUAGGAGAAAGGGAGUCAAUUCCAUCAGAGCUACAAAAUCACAGGGUUAUGGGUGGCACUGUGAAUCGAUGGGUGAUAUUUUAUUGUGUUUUGGAGAAAGGAAACUACUAACCUGGACGGAGGACAUUAGAAGACCUUUCACCUCACUUCUCCAGAACCUCACAGCUUUCUAAUUACUCUUACGGCUGACCUAACCUUCCAUCCACCUCUCUCUUACUCUUGAGCAGAAGUGACCAGCUACUCUUCUUGGCACUGCAAAUACACUUGGAGAUAGAUAUAGAUAUAGAUGGUAUAGAUGAUAGCUAUAGAAUAAAUGGUAUAGAUGAUAGAUAAAGAUAUAGAUAUCUGAUAUAGAUAUAGAUGGUAUAGAUGAUAGGUAUAGAUAUAGAUAUGUAAUAUAUGAUAUAUGACAUAGAUAUAGAUGUAUAGAUGAUAGGUAUAGCUAUAGAUAUAGAUGUAUAGAUGAUAGAUAUAUGAUAUGUGAUAUAGAUUAGAUGGCAUAAAUGAUAUAUAGAUAUAUGAUAUAGAUAUAAAUGGUAUAGAUGAUAGAUAUAGAUGGUAUAAAUGAUAGAUGUUAAGUGAUAUAUGAUAUAGAUAUAGACAGUAUAGAUGAUAGGUAUAGAUAUAGGUAUAGAUGGUAUAGAUGAUAGAUAUAGAUAUGAUACUUGAUAUUUGAUAUAUGAUAUAGAUAUAGAUGGUAUAGAUGAUAGGGGUUUAGAUAUAGACGGUAAAGAUGAUAGAGAUAAAGAUAGAUACAGCAUCUUAGCCUUUACUCACUGUAUGCCAGGAAUAUGUCCUAAAUGAGGACAAGAAAAAUUGUCUCAGACUUUGACAGGUAGACAUGUUGGUCCGCAAACAUGUGAUUUCAGAAAAGGGGCCACAAAUGCAGGUGGGUCUGUGUCAUUGAUGUCAGGCCUGGAAUGUGUGUGUGUGGCUACAGAGUGCAGCACUACCAUGACAAUAAUGCCUGGGUCACAGUGGCCUGACCAGCUUCUGUAAGCUCAUAAGCCUAUUCAUAGAAGGGGAGGUGCACUCUCUCAGGAGUAUUCUCUUUCUACUGACGCCCCGACAUCUAUUCUGGUGUCUCUACGAGGGAUUGCUAAUGGGAGUCUCUUUCUGUGUUUUAAUUCUCUGUAAUUAAGGACACAUUCCCUGGCAGGUGCCUUGUAGAGCUUUUCUUUAAAGGGUCUUUCAUCUUCCUGGUGUGUGUGAGAGAUGACCAUAGAACAUGCAUUUCCUCCUCAGAUGAUUGUAUCAUAGCCAGUGGAUAUUGAGGAAAUAUCUCAGGAUGAACCUACCAGGCUGGAUUCCUUAGACACAGAGUUGUUUACCAAAUGCUUUAAUAGUAUGUUUGAUCCCCUUCUUGUGCACAGUGCCUAGACCUCUCUCUCUGUGAUGUGUCAGAUAAAGCACAGCUCUCACCCUUACCACCUACCACCACCAAGUUCAUCUAGGACUCCCUCGGGAGUUGGUGGACACAGGUUAGGGACUCUUACUGACUUUCUUCAUGGGUCAGAAAUUGAGUAAGUCUUUCAUUUAAAAAAAAUGCUGAAAGCUGAAGACAUAACUAAGUCUAUGUGUUUACUUCCCAGUAAACAGCCACACUCCUUGACAUCUCCCUUCAGACCUAUGGGAACAGAUAGGAUAUGUGACAGGGUAAGGUGACUUCACCACACUACUGUCACUUUAAAAACUGUCAUUGCAUGAUGGCAAGACAUAAUGUGACCCAACCUAGUGAUAAGGAAUGGUCAUUUCUCACUCUAAACAGGACAGGAACAAAAUACAGAACCUUGUGCUUUCUGGGCAAUUGCUGCACUAAAUAGGUAUUCCCCGAAACAACUCUUUUUUCCCCUAUUUUUUAUUUAUAUGUUUGUCUGUUUAGUUGAUUUGUUGGUUGGUUUUGGUUUCUCUAUGUGGCCCUGGCUGUCCUGGAACUAUCUUUGUAGACCAGGCUGGUCUUGAGCUGAGAUCCACCUGCCUCUCCCUCUUGAGAGCUGGGAUUAAAGGUGUGUGCCACCACACUCAGUCCAUCUAAAACAAGUUUUUAAAGCAAAAGUUACCCAACGACUCAUUUGUCUUAACAGAAAGAGGAUUGUUUUGCUUCUCUUUGUGCUGAGCCAGCAAGAGGAGACUUAAAAUUAUAUUCAGAGUUUAGAAGAAACACAGCCCGAACUCUGAGUGCCGUCCACAUACAAACAAGCUAAUGAUUAGAAUGUGACACAAAUCUAUCCCUAGUUCUGCAUGAGCUCAGACUGCAUUGCUAUUUAAAAUGCAGAUGGCAGCCAGGUAUGGUCAUUCAUGCUUUUAAUCCCAGCAUUCAGGAAGCCGAGGCAGGCAGAUUUCUAUAAAGCCAGCCUGGUCUACAGAGCAAGUUCUAGGACAGCUGGGCCUACACAGAGAAACCCUGUCUUAAAAAGGAAAAAAGAAACAAAGAUGAAAAAUGCAGAUGGCAGUGAUGACCCAGCUGACCCAACCUUUGCACAGGAGUGCACGGCACACACCCUUGCACGGUGUGCUGUUGCCUUCAAAAGGAGGUGCACCGUGGUUUAUGGUCUGAGUUUCUCUGGGGGAAGGAUGGAGUGCUUUGUGAAAUUGAUCUCUGCCUUGCUCUCUGCUUCCUCAAUGAAGAUGGACAUGAAACCUUAGAGCCUUCAAAAAAUCCAUAAAUUAGAACUUGCUUUCUAAUGUGGAAGUAGGCUGCAUGUGACACGUGUGUAGACUUGCACUGCUGUGGGAGUAUCUUUACAACAUCACAUGGGGAUUCUCAAAGGGUCAGUGGUUUGGGGAAGAUUCACCAAGACUUCACUUUUGGAGAAAAGGGAUUGCCUAUUGUCACCUAGUUCUGCUAUUUACUGGCCAUUGAAAGCUUUUCCCUAACAUUGCAAUUUUCAAAACUAUGGAGACAAAAGUAAUUCUUGCUGAAAAUAAUUGUUGAAAUGUUAAUAUAUGGCCAAGAACGAUUAAUAGCUUAAGUGCUGUACAUUCCUAAUUAGGGCUGGCUUAUCAACAGCUUUGCCUGUGCCAGCUGAUAUUCCUGAUACAAUCUGUAGGUAAUUAAUAAUUUAAACUAUUAUUACUUAUUCUUCGAACAAAGUCAUUUCACAAAAAUGCUUUCUAAGUUCUUGCUAGAAGAAGUAAAAGAGGGAGUCCUCUAUGCUGGACAAGGAGUUAGGAUAUCAAGUGCAGAAGCCAGGCUGGCUAGUUUCUAGUUAGUUAUUUGUUCUUGAUAAAUCAACAGAUUUUUUUUUCUGAACUUAGAUUUCCAGCCAACCUAAGAUUCUUAGGGCAAGCGAACUCCAAAAGUCUCAACAUGCUAUUCUGGAGUUUGCUAUUAUUAUGCCAUUCUUGUUCAUUAGCAGAACACCAUCAGGAAACUAACUUGGCUGUUCCCAUCUUGAGCUAUCCAGACAGCUUCUGCCUCAGUAUUAGGCACCCACACUGUCAUUGGGUACACUCAAGCACUCUUAGCAGGCUGGUCCCUGACCCAGAUGGGACACAUGAUUUACAAAGAAUGCUUCAUUUCUUUUGGUCUUAUUUGUGAAAUAUGGGCUUGAUACAUAUGUGCACCACCUUCACACUGAAAAAAUUAAGAGCUUCUUGGUCUCUUUUAUAACUCAACUGUGUAGUUUUUCUAAACAAGUUUUUUUUCUUAAAAUUUUAUUUUUUGGUGAAAAUAUAUAUUUAAAAAAAAACAGAGAAAAGGGGGGAUGUUGUAUGAUAAAUGUGAUCAAAGUUCUUGAUGUACCUGAGAUUAUGUUUCUAAAGCCCUUCACUAUGUGCAAUGAAUGUGCCAAUAAAGUGUUGUUUUAAAAAGUCAAAUAAUGCCAAAGACUCAUCAUACCUCCACACUGCUAGGAGAUGGCUUCUCUCUCGGCCUCUGUCUUGGCAUAUUUUCAUUAGCAUGUUUCUAACUAAUGUGUAUGUUGCUUGCCUUGUUCCACCAUUACUGAACACUGCAUGCUGACCUUGGCUCUCUACGCCUUUAUUUCCUCUUUGUAGGUAGAAAACAAUUUUAAUGCUUUCUCCUGCCUUUAUUGGACUCCCUGCUCUGUAGACUCAGACCCACGCCUUAAGUUUUAGAUUACUCCUCAUUUUGAUGGAUUAGUAGAAUGUGUCAAGAGCCAAACCCUCAACUGGGCACGGUGAUGUACGGCACUUGGGUGGUAGAUAGACUCGACGUUGAAACCCGUAUUGACCGUGAGACUCGGUCACAAAACACAACCCAGAUGAACAGAAUUUAGGAUUUCUGGGUAUCUUUAAGUGAAUGUGAGCAAACCCGAGAUGAGAACAACCAACAGCGUAGACUUCAUUUCAUGAUGUCCUUAUUCACCGGGCUCACAGAUCCUGUGCCUGCACCGCAAGGUAGGUCUUGUCAUCAAAAUUUGUUGAGGAGGACUCAGAGGCUCAUGAGAGGUAAAUCUCCAACCAUGUCUGUUAUACAGAAUGUGAGCCAGGCUGGGCUUCACACCUGUUCUCAGCUUAAGUAUCACAUAAUCCCUGACCGAAGAAUUAUAGCUGUAGGCAUUUUCUGAAGCUCCAAGUUCACCUCUGAAGGCGCCACAGAGGCUCUGCCUAAGGAAGACUUCGGUGCUACUGAGACUGAGACAUUUUGAGAGGCAGACCCAUCUUCAGCAGCUACAAGGAGCCAGCUUUCUCAAUAGGAUUGCUUAGACCAGAAAACAAGCUUCUCAUCAAAACUUGGUAUUAACCAUAUGUCUAAUCUGUGCGUGUGCUCAGUGCUGCAAACAGCCAGGCUCUUCCUUGUUAGAUGAGUGAACAGUGGAGGGGAGAUGGCUUGGAGGUGGCGAGCGGUUGGCAGAAGUGGCAGACACUUCCUGCCCAGGCCUGUGGGUUUUGCAGAAGCUAAAAGCUUGUUACAAUGUGGUUUAUUCAAGAUCACAUCUCCCAGCCCCUUAAGUUUUUUACUUCUCCAGUUUUUUAGCAUGAGAGCGGCGUUCAGAAAAGCUGAAAAGCAAAGGGGUUUGCCUCUCAUUUACAAAGGGACUCGGGAAAACCUGUAGCCCAGUCGGCAGGAAAUUGUCCCUUCUGCCUGAUCUUGAAACUUGCUCUACCCUCUCUUUGCAAGAUGCAGUUUUGGGUGCAGACUGUUUUGUUGUUGUUGUUUGUUUGUUUGUUUUGGGUUUGUUUUUGUUUUGAGAAACAAAUAAUUCCUCUCUCUUUUUGGUUUUCCUUCUCCCGUUGCUUAACAGGGAGAAUCUACUUCGUGCUAGUCUUUUAAUCUCUAGUUUUCUCUCCUCAGUGCAAAGCUCUUCCUUCCCCUGCUCUGACCGACUAGAACAGUUAAAAAAAAAAUUCUCCACUGUUUUCAACAUCUCCAACCUCAAAUUCUGCUCUUGUUGCUAAGUGAAUUCUAAAGGCAGUCCACCCAAAGUGCUACUGAGUUGAAAAUUGGUGCAUACUGGAAUCUAUAUUUGAUCUCAUUUUUAAUGAUAUCUUGAGUAUUUCAAUAUACAUGCAGUCCUCAGGCAUCUUGGAACCAGGUGAAGUUUCUUCAGAACAGCUUCAACACAUUUCUUAUUUAUUUAAAAUUUUGCUUUUACUAGCCUAGAGUUAAUUAAACUAAAUUAAAUGAGUUGCACAGGGAAAAUGAGUGAUGAUUUCCCUGUGCUGGCCAGCUUCUACAAAGCUCACAUUGGGUAUGGCAUCCAGAAGUCUUCAUAAUAGUUAUCAGUGAUUAUGUGAUUUUGAAAUUAUAUAAUAAUUGAUGGGCCUCAUCUCAUGAGGACAUGGUUAAAUAAUUGAAGUAGCAAGGAAAGACCGUAUCUCUUGGUUUCCUUGCAGAAAGGACAGUACUCUGUCUCUCUGAAUAAAGGCCCACUAAGAGUUAAUAUUGUUCCCAUUUUCCCAGCACAACCUUUGGGGAGAGAAUAUCCUAGAGACAAGAGCAAGCAGAAUGCCAACUUGAUUGGUGGGAAAGUGUUUGGAAGGGAAGUGUCUCAGCCAGAGAAACUUCAGGGCUAUGGGAACAUGUGUCUGGGGAUCCAGAUGUGAGUAUUUGAAAGAAACUGUGUAAGAGCUCGUAAACAUUUGUAUGAAGAAGUGAGAUGUUUGCAUCUACCUUACAGGGCAGCUGUGAUGGUUAAAGAAAAUAAUGUAAGUCUUACAAAAUAGAGAGGGGGCACCCAUCUGGAGGGAGAAUUGCUGAAGUAGCCACAGUGCAUGAAGUGACAGCUGCAGUGGUACUAACCUGAGAGAUCCAUCAUACCACAUGGCCAUGUGGAGAGAGAGAGACUUCCUGACUCCAGGGCUCGUGGCUUGCCCCAUGUCAUGUUGCAUUUGAGAGCAUGGAGCAUAAAAAUUAGCUCUGUUAAUUUACUCAUUGGCUGAUCUUAAUCAAGUUAACAUCAUCUUUUCAAAUCUUGAGGUUAUCUAUAAGUGGAUGUAAAAAUUUUAUAUAAGGAAACAUUUUUUAUAAGCAUUUCAUGAAAUAAUGCCAGCAUAAGCACUUUGUUGUUUCAGUUUUGUAAAUUGUUAACAUUGAAGAAAGGCUUAGAAGACAAGUGGUCCAGUUUUCAAAGGCUAAGUGUAUUCACCAGUGUAUAAAAUUUGCCCCAUCAUCCCACUCAGGGUAAGAGAGGAAGGGUGUGGACUAGCUCCAUAGGAAGUAGGAGAAAUUAUAGGAAACGGCAAAAUAAGCAUAUCUGACAGCUUUGUUUUGUUCUAUUUUACUUGUUUAUUUACUAUUGCUGUGUACCCCAGGCUGACUUGGAACUGGGGACCCUCCUACCUCAGCCUCCCAGGUGCUGGGAUUACAAGUAUGUACCACCAUGCUUAGUUUAUAAUUAAAGUUUAAAUCUGUCUUUGUGAGAUAAGGGACCGUGUAGCUUCUCUCAAGCUUCUCUAACUCCAAAGAGGUCUUAGAGAAGUGCCUGUAUCAGCUUCCUUCUGCAGAGCUCAGGCUGGCCGUGCUCACCUGAGACACAUCAAUGUGAACCUUUCUCAGCAUCAGCUGGUACAGACUGGCAUGGCGUGCCUGUCACUUCACUGCCUUCCUCGGCCAAGGGGCACUAGAUCCAUGAAUCCUAGUUUAUAGGGAUUGUGAGUAUUUCGGAGAGGCAAAUCUCUGGCACACAGGCCAACACUAAACAUCACGAGGAGUCAGGUGUAUUUUUGUCACCAUUAUUUCAUGUAUAAAAUCACCAACAGACCUAUCAAGACCCGGGCAAAGAAAUAUUUUGUAUAUACAUAAGAUCAUUUUUAUGUGCUUUUAGUCAUGGAGUAAUUAGCAGACAGAACUAUCAAUGAAGUUUUUGGAACAUAUUGCAUUUGAGAAAAACAUGAGGUCAUUGAAUGUGUUUGACUGGGAUAGAAACAAUCACAUUUCUCCUUGCAUUUGGAUUCUCAGCAAUCCUUUGGUCCUGAAGGCCCCAUUUCUGCCGUGGUUUUGAUACUAUACAGGGAAGGGAUAUGUGUGGGGGAUAUUUGAUUUGUGUAUGUUUGGAUUACCAAUUGAAUACAUGAUUAUUUGGUUUCUUCAGUCUCCACAUAUCUAUACAGAACAUUGUUAAUAUGGGGCUCCAUCCCUGGGAACUAAACUUUGCCAUCACACAUUCCAGAUUUAAGAUUACAUCACACAAUCCAAGUUUGAGAUUACAUCACACAUUCCAGAUUUAAGAUUACAUCACGCAUUCCAGACCUCAGAUUACUGGAUUCUUUAAGACAGUCUCGGUUUUUUAUGAAUUUUAUCUAGAGCAUUAAUAUUUUCACCAAAAUAUAAACAGCCCUUUAUUUAAUUUUCCUCACAAUUACACUAUAUAUUCAAGUGUGAAUGGAGAAAAGCAGAGAGCAGAGGAAAAUUACAAGAGGCCACUCAGAAUGAGCCAUCACCGUCCCUUGAAAAGCUGGUGUUUGAAAGUCUCUCCUUGAGCCUGAUGGAGCCAAGAUGGAGUAUCUGUGUAUUAAAGAAUCACAUAGAAUCAGACCAGACUGGCCUCAAGCUCACAAAGAUCCACCUGCUUUUGCCUAUGAGAUUAAAGGUGUGGACCACCAUGCUGGGCUUGUCCUUUUUUCCCCCAAAAUCAACAAUAAAAUUGUUCUCUUUC
Molecule: non-coding RNA, 15746 nt
Organism: Rattus norvegicus (Norway rat)
Lineage: Eukaryota; Metazoa; Chordata; Mammalia; Rodentia; Muridae
Source: RefSeq, a predicted model, not a curated record